This 21803-nucleotide long non-coding RNA is filed under the name Volvox carteri. RNAcentral's name for it is "long non-coding RNA (VCAR_LNC001900)". The record is from RNAcentral. Lineage: Eukaryota; Viridiplantae; Chlorophyta; Chlorophyceae; Chlamydomonadales; Volvocaceae.
UGUAUGUAUGUAUGUAUGACGUUGAUUACACUGUGGGCUGAAAAGCCGGGGGCCCAGGGCCGAAACACAGCGCGGGGGGCGGGUGCAUACGGCUGGUCAGUCUCAUGCACUCCGCCCCCGGGUCAGGCCGCACGGGAAACGACGGCCGGCACGCAACAGCGCUUGUUUGGCGCUCCAACUAGACGGGAUCUAUGCCCGUUGGUCUCCUAACAUAAACGAAGUCGCAACUGGGGGGCUCUUCCUGCCGAACGAACGAACCGAGCAUCUCAGAGAGCUCGCUACCAGGACCUGGGCGACCGGGAGCCCGACGAGUCAUCCCGGGCUGGGGAGGUCACCAAGCUCAAAAAUCCUCACGCAAAAAAGAGCGCAAAGAGCUCACACCACAAGACGCCAAACAGCCUCCUGAGACUACUACCCUCCUCCGCCUCUCCCUCCCUGGGCUAGUCCAGGGGAGAUAGCCCCCGUCGAGGGGGUACCACCGCACAAGUCCGCGCCCUUCCACAGCACUGGGUCUAACUUGAAAAGUACUCAAACGGGAAGACCCUGCGGCCACGCCGGGCGAUCAAGCCUCCGGAAACCACAGGGGGGGAGGGUAGCCAGCUCGGCGCCCCCCCAAUGUAUAUAUGUAUAUAUGUAUAUGUAUAUAUGUAUGUAUAUAUGUACGUAUAUAUAUGUAUGUAUGUAUGUAUGUACCUGUGUGUAUGUGUGUAUGUGUACAUCACCCUGAAACCCCAUCAUUACCACCACCGCUACCACCAUCGUCAUAGCGCAAAGCAUCUGCAUUUUCUGAACAACUCCGCACAUCCAGCAUCUCCAAUGUCCCCUCCUCCUCUCGGCUGGGUGCAUUAAAAUGCACACACGCAUUAAGGCACACACACACAUAUGCACGUACGCAUUUCUUCCGCGCUUUCUCCCCCCUCCCACCCCACCCACCCACCCAACCCCCUAAUUAAUGCAGGCUACGAGGACCUGUACGUUACCGGCACCUGCGAGCGGCUCUACAAGUGGAAGUUCGCCCACAUGAAUUCCGUUGACUUUCAGUUGCGGUGCGCCAAGAGGAUAGGGCCCUCGGGGCAGCCGGAGCUGGAUCCCAACGGCCAACCGGAACCGUUACAGUUAUUUCUGUUGGAUCAGAACGCGUCGCGGGGCCGGGGCAUCGCCUACAUUCCCCUGGCCAAGGUCGAUAAGGACGGUGGGUGAGUGGGUGUGAGGUUAGGGGGCCCGAAACCUCAACCUCGACAAGAAAACCUGCACGGCUUCCUCCCUCCCCUUCCCCGCCGUCGGACGUCGGCAGGCGACUCAUGCAUUCUAUAAAUACCCCGCUUUAUCCCCUCCCCGCCCCCCCUUCCCCAGUUCUACGUCUGGUACACUCUUGCCCUGGCAGCAGCUUCACUCGUUCGUGGUUCGUCUUUCCCCCCCUACCCCCUUCNNNNNNNNNNNNNNNNNNNNNNNNNNNNNNNNNNNNNNNNNNNNNNNNNNCUGGAAGUUCAUGCGGGAGCGGAAGGACAAGGACACGCCCAACGCGUCGCGGGUUUACCUUCGGGUACGGCAGUACGGCUGCUGGGGGGUUGGUGGGGGGAAAGGGCGUGUGGUGGGAGGAUAUUCAUGUGUGUGGCUCUUGGUUUGUGAUUCACCUUUCCUCCCCCCUCCCCCCCCCCCCCUUACACACAUUCACCCACGCAUACACACACACCGCGCACUCCGCUCACCCGGCAGCAGCCUUCUAGCUAUUUCUCUCAUCUUCGCCAACACUAAACCGGCCGCUGGCGGCCGUUCCACUACCUCCACCUCCACCUCCUCUUCCGGUCCCCGGCACAGACGCCUGCUGUCCAUUCCGUGUUUUCUUGAAUAGAUUCCCCCACACCCCACCCCAGACCGCUCCAUCUCCAUCCCCCCACACAGACAUCACAACCCGUCUGACGACCGUUCUUGGCUUGGCAUCUCGUAUUUGAUUCCCCUGAUGUCCCUCAACUCCCUGAAUCCUUCAAAAACGUUUCAACAAGUCCUCCUCUCUCCCUUAUCGACACUUAAUCCUUCUUGCUUCUUGCUUUUGCAUGGCAUGAUUUCCCCCCUCCGCCCCCCCAUUGCUGUUCCCAACUUUGGACUCUCGGGCACACUCUGGUGUUUUUCCCUUCUUGACUUGGCUUGAUUGACUUGGCGGCAUGUAAUUCCCUUUCCCUCCCCUCCCCACACCCUUGCCCUCUGGCAGCAGCUUCACUCGUGUGUGGUUCGUCUUUCCCCCCCCCUCCCCCCUGCUAUCAGCUCUCCACAUACCGCUCACGACGCCAGCAGCAAUUUCGGACCUUGGGCCUUGGACACACCAGCAGCAGUUCGUUCACUUUUCGCAAUUUUUCGCAUAUGUUCCCCCCCCCGCUCCCAAUACACACACGCACACACAUACACACACACACUCACCCCUUGGCAUGUAAACACCCCCACCCCAUCUCCCGCCAUUCCCCUCCCCUUCCCCCCUUCCUCCUUACCGCACUUCUCUCCGCUACUUUCAUUCGCUUUGGCCCGCACCUCGUGCAACAAAUCUGCGGAAUUCCCAUGGGCAUAUCCCCGGCCCCUUAUUUUGCAAACCUCUUCCUCGCUUGGCAUGAAUAUAAAUUCUUACAGCAAUUCUACUCCUCUACUACCUCUUCCCAUAAUAAAAUUAUCCUUAAAUCUUUUCAGUUUACUAAACGUUACCUCGACGACCUCCUCUCCCUGGGAAACCCACACCUAUCAUCCCUCCUCUUCUACCUAUCGGAAUCAGUCGGACCCCACACCUUGCGCGGUAUUUACCCCCCUCAGCUUGAAAUUCCAGUUCAGCAACACCCCGACGGCAAAACACCUUUCUUAGAUAUCCUUUUAGUACAUACCCUACGUAACGGCUGCAGUUGGUAUGAUACUCAUCUUUAUGAUAAGCUACAGCAAUCAGCUUUUUUAGAUAUUCGCCUUUCUCGCUUUGUUCAUGCAUCCUCGUCCGUUAAUGAAGCAGCAAAACGAAAUAUUUUCAUCAGCCAAUUCCGUAGAUUACAGCGCAUUAUCACGGACGUUCAGAAUUUUGCGCAUUCCGUGGCUAACCUCAUGGCACAACUCGUUGUGCAAGGUUACCCGCGACGGCGCCUUGAGAUACAAUGUGCUCAACAACUCUUCUACUGGCCACAACUCUUCUUAGUACAACGCCGUAAUGGCUUCGAUAUCCUUUCUCACAUCCUUAACCUGCUCCCUACCCUGCUUCCUAAUUCUCCUUCCUCGCUUCACUAACUCUUGUUCCUGCAACUCUCUAUCCUGCCCCUAAUUACCUUUACUCCUUUGUAGUUCUUCUUUUCCUGCCCUUAAUACGUUUAUUCCUGCCCCUCCCGUUAGGCACCACGGAGUUGCAUGCAGAUGCUCCUGGUGCGCACGGUUUGGCGGGAGCCAUAUGUGGCCCCGACCCACGCACUAUUUUCAUCUGCCCCCGCUUUUUUGCACAGCUUUUUUGCACAAGCUUUGUAUUUUUUCCAAAAUUGUUCUCACCCCGUUACGCCUUUACUACCUGUUAUGCAAUCGUUCACUGCGUCAUCAUCCCUUCAUCCGGUACGACACGUCGCAUGCUUUUUCUUUCUUAACUGUUUCCUUUUCCUUUCUUUUUCCUUCUUAGUUAAAUUUUUCAAAUCCGCCAGCCAGUUACUACUUUUCCUCAGCAGCAUUCGCAUGUCUCCUUGUCCUUUAUCGCACCCGGCUCACCUAUUUCCUACCCUUUUGCUUUGCAUGUGCCUUUUGCCACUACUUCUGCGGCCUGGCCAGGUGAGUCCAAAGGGUGGUUCGAGCUUCUUUGGUAUAUCACGUUGCCGUCGGUCGGCUAGCCGGAAUAGAUUAGUCGGGUCGGUCGGGUCGGUCGCGCGUUUUAGUUUUUUUGGGGGGUUGGGAGGAGCACCUGCAUACCGACAGCCUUUUCAGCAUCAGCAAAUCAGCUAUUUCUCCAGGCCAGCAAUUUUACGCCACCUUUACGACAGCACCAUUUCACUACGCUUCCGCCGCCUUUACUACUACUUUUCUACUCCUACUUCUUUACGGAUUGGCAAUACUACUCCGCGUUUUUAGUUCUGGCGGCUUAGGUAGGUAGUUUUGUUUUUUUCCGACAUCAUCUUCACUUCUUCAUCCCGAGGUCACGGUCGCCACGGACGCCUUUCGGUCAGUUCUACGUUGGUUACUCUCUUGCCCUGGCAGCAGCUUCAAUCGUGUGUGGUUCGUCUUCCCCCCUUCCCCCCUUCCUUUCGGUCAGUUCUACGUUUGAUACACUCUUGCCCUGGCAGCAGCUUCAAUCGUGUGUGGUUCCGUCUUUCCCCCCUUUCCCCCCUUCCCCCCCCAGAUCAAGGAGUCCAUCAUCAACCACGUGGAUCAGGAGGUGCUGGUGGGCACCCUAAAGGAAGCGUUGCUGGUGUCGCCGGUGUACGCGGGGGACCGGAGCAAUAUGAACCCCAAGCAGAAGGCGGACUUGGAGAAGGACGUGGAGGCGUGGAGGGUAGGUGAAGAGGGCGCGGUGGUGUAGGGUUGGGGGGGGGAGGCAUGGAGGGUGGUAGAUGGAGGGGGCGCGGUGGGAUGGAUGUGGUUGGGGGAAUGCAGGUAGGAUGGCUGGGGCUCGGCCUAUUUGUCUGUCUGUCUGUCUGUCCGCUGUGUCUCAUUCGUGACGUUGGCGUGUUGCAGCAGCACCGCAUGCUUCUCUUCGUGAUCAUAUGACACGGGGCCGUCCCGCCCCGCCCCGCCCCGUUCUCGUCCCCUACGUUGCUUCCUUCCUCAUCUUGCUCCCCCUCUAUUACCGUUUCCGGCUCCAAAACCACCAAAAGCACGAAAAUCCCCGCAAAAGCCGUGAAACCCAUGUCUUCUGAAACGCGGCUACCCCCGCCCUCUCGUACGGCACGUCAGGAUCGUCGUGCGGCGAUGGAGGCGGCACGUCGGUCCGCCCUCUCUUCCCGGCCGUACCCCGGCGAGGACGAGGAACCCGUGUCGCCGCCGCCGGCCUCGCCGCCGCCGCCAGGCUACUUCGACGGCCUCGGCGACUUCCAGGACGAUGAGUUACACGCGUACGGCAUGAACGACGACGCCGGCGGCGGCAGCGACGCCGGCGGCGGUUACAAGGUUUCGGAGGCGGACGCUGACGCGGAGACGUACGGCGAUACUGGGGAGCCUUUGAAACGGCGGCGGAGGGACUCCGGUCUCGGGGAGGAGCAGGUUCCGGAGCAGGAAGACGAAGACCGUCCUAGGGGGCGAUUAACCAGCUGGGGUUUUGACGUGGAUGAGCCGUGUCCGGGUUGCCCGAUGUACGAGGGGUACGGCUUUGACUGAGACCGUACCGGUGCCGUGCAGCUGAGGUGGGGAUGCGAGUGGGAGUGGGGGUGGAGUGGGAGUGGAGGGGAUUUUGGAGCACGCGGCGGACCUCGCAGACCUCAGGUGUUUGAUAUAUGCGACGCCUCGGCAUUUUCCUUGUGUGUGUAUCUGUGUAUGUAUGUAUGUGUGUGUCUCUAUGUGUAUCUCUGUGUGUGUGUGUGUCUGCGUGUGGAGGUUACAAGUAUCUAUCUGACCGGGCCUGACGGCACUGGCCACAGAGGGGCGGCUGCCUGCUGCCCCAACGGAAAGACCGCCUAAGCUCUCUCCCCCGCGGACGGGAGAGGGGCGCUAGAGGGGCCUCUGUCCCCCCUCCUAAGCAGCGCCGAGAGCCGCAGGUCCGCUAGCUCCGCUCUCCUCCCCCCCGGCGGGUUGGGAGGCGUCGCACGUGCGCACGCGCUCUCACGAGUCAAGGCUCCGUCACGCGAGUUUGCGUUCACUGGGCCUGAAACCCCCCGGCCUGGUCUGGCGCUUGGGGUGAGGGUUCACUAAGACUAAGAGGAAACCCGGAAACCCUGUACAUACCCUACCCCUUCAUUGGGAGGUACUCGUCAGUCAGCAUCAAUAAACACGAAUCGAUCCCUGGGUGGGUGCUUGGAGCCCACACCAUUUCAGGCGCCACACCUCUCGUGGUUGUCCUUCGGGUGACUUAUGAAAGGGACAGAAUAAUUUUGGGGAAGUUUUUGGUUGUGGGGGUUAUGGUUAGGUUAUGGGUUGUUCUUUUGGUGUUUUGUUAUUGACGUGUCUCCUCAGCGUGAAGUAAUGUUAGAGGUAGGAAUGUACGGCACUUCCACUUGACACCACCGGUGGGACGUAUAAUACCUUGUAUGUACCGAUGCAUGGUGAUGUAAGAAGGGUUAAUGUGCAGGCUGCUGGGAACGGGUGAGGUUUGUUUCCUCGGUUGCGGUAGGUGUAUAGGAGUGCUGCUGUUGUGUUAUGUAACGAGAGAGCUUUAGGGUUUUAGUAGGGGUUCGAGCGCAUCAGCGGACACUGGUUUAGGCGGAACAAAUGAAGAACUGUACCCGUCUGGCGGGUUUAUAUGGAUCAUAGGGUAUUUUGCGCUCUCGCUUCACCGACAAGGGAAGCAAAGCAAAGACUUACCUUGACAGCGUAACGCGGGCAAUGUACGUGUGCGUAUGUAUGUGCGUCAUCGUUGUGUGUACUUGACCGUUUUUCCCUAAGGUCAAACAUCCAAAAUGCCAGCCAACGUACGUGUCUGUGUUUGUGUUUGUGGGCGUCUCAGGAGGAGGAAAAUCGGACCUGUGCCGCACGCACAUGCGUGUGUGUGUUAAAAGUGUGUAUGUGCCGACGCCCAAGCCUGGACUUAAUGGCGUAGCAUCGUGUGGGCGGGCAAACGGUUGUUUGCGAGCUGAGGGGGGCCCGUGCGUGGUUGUACUGGCCGUGGGGGUGCACUGGCUACUGUAGAGUGACGGGGGGGGGCCGGAGAAAGGAUAAGAGAUGUGAAUGGAGAUGAUCUGGGUUAGGGGGAAAGUGCGUCUGCAUGUGUUUUUGCUGGUUAUGUUGCCUGGUCAGGCCUCAUGACCUGUCUGGGGUGGGGGGGAGGGUUUACGGUACUUGAACAGGCCAGCUCAACGCGGGUAGGCAUGUUACAGAGGAAAAGUGGUAUGUGGGUUGGGCCACGUGCCACGGCGGGAUUCACAGAAGGGGGAUUGUGGAGGAGGUUGGCUGUGACGGAGAAUAAGGGUUCUCCCGCACUGCUUGGCACGAGCACGAGCAUCCAGCGGGAGCGUUGGUUCAUUUUCCACACGCGCCCGCGUGAUAGGGGCCGCAGCAGCAGCAGCAUUUCGCUAUCCUUGCCCUGGACGUGGCCGCGGAGGGGGCAGCAGAGGAAAAUACAACAGCGCGGAGGGAUGCGAAGGGCGCAGGCGGACAGUGGAAUCAUGUGGUAAAUUCACGUUCCCUUACCGUGACAAGCGAAGCCCAACUCAAGUACGGGCUGCAAGAGAUAUGAUUGAAGUUUCUUGGUCCUGAUUCGGCGUGUGAUUGUUCGUAUAGCAUCGCGUUAGCAAAGCACUGGUGGCGGAUAAACAAAAGCGUCGUCAUAAACAGCAAGCAGCUGCUACGAGAGAUGUAAGAAAUGCUCUAUUGUCAACGACAACGAGUUGAGCAAGGUCAAAGAAGCAACUACCAAAUUGGGGCUGCUGUCCGUCACGCCAACAAAUGGUAAAAUCACAAAAUACGUUCUGGUCUAAUAUACAGUACAAGAAACACAGAAGAUGCCUCACAACAGUGUGGAGAAUGUAACGUGCACAUACAGGAAAGGUUAACAAUGCACGACAUAGCACGGUCAGCACACUCAAGUGCAUGCUGCGACAGCUGGCCCUGAGGAAUGAGGACAACGGAAAAUGGCGUUACCUCCCUAGCGUACUAACGUUACAUCGCUGUAAUUAUGCGCGAUGGGAAACCAAACCUCCAGCGGGGGUGCUCUUGAGCAUUCCCUUGAUGUGGAAGAAAAUGCGAGGGCGCAAGUGCAAUCUGAAGAGCAGCUUCAAGGACCUGCAUAUGAACUUCUGGGUCCCGGACAGUAUAGGUUUCCGUUUGACCUGCCCAAUGUGAACCAUUUCCCGUCAUUAGAUGACGCACUCCGUUAUAAUCCCAAUGACGUCCCAGCAACGACUGGUCCUAGCGUAGAAACGCUUGCUAACCUGUACCCAUGCAACUUUCCGGAAGCAGGGCUCGUCAUGGAGCCACGCAGCGCAUAUGGCAGUUCAGCGCAGGCUGGAGUAGACGCAUACUUUUCUCGUAUGGUAAGAUGCGCGAACUAAUUCCACGCCAACGUUCCUACGCUAAAGAGCGUCUUGAACUUUAGCCACUGACCGCCACGCCAGCAUCCCUGGACAGGCUGAAUCUCCACCAACAGCUGUCCCAUGUCAGCUGCCCGACCUGCCCUUCCGUCCGGGGUCUCAACGGGCAUGGGGUGACAACUGGGAAAACCCUCAAGGUAACGCACUUACAUGAAUAAAAGAAUCUCGUCAAAGGGCCUUGCCACCUGCCAUCCUGAACUUGAAUGUACCAAUCCCUGAACCACGGCGCAACGGCCACCUGGCCGACCCGGCAUCUUACACACGCACGCAUCUCCUACCUGUCCUCUCUCUCCCACCCACUCAACCAUCCCACACACAAACACCACCCACACGCUUUUCCCCCGCUGUAGCUACCCACAUGACCCGGUCUCCUCCACCUUGGCCGGCGGCAUCCGAGCCCUCCACCACCUCCCUCUCCGUUACACACCUACCCACGAGUGACCUGAGCGGGACGCAAAGCGCAGCGGCUACGUGCGGCCGCGUCACACCUGCGGCAGCUGCCGCCGGAGCACCCCCCGGUACGACCACAACCGUCACCACCGCAAACACGUCGCCACUUGCCGCCACCGCAAGUGGCAUCACGGCGCGCCAUGGGCUCCGUCCUCCCAGCGCCACGGAGACGCCGUUGGCCCAGACGCGCCGGGUGCUUCGAGUAGCCAACCUCGCCGCGCUGCACAUGGACUCGUUUGAGUCGGACGUCUCUUCAGAGAUACUUUUGGAGACUGGGCGGCUGAGGGCAGCCCCUGCGGCUCGCGGUUCAGGCCUGACAGCAGCGGCGGCGACGGCGCGAGCGGCUGCGCCGCCGACACCAGCGGCGGCGGCGGCAGCGCCUGCCGCGCAGCAGCCUUUGUCCUCGGUACUUCCCCUAGUGACCACACCGGGCGAUGACUCCGAUGAGUUUUACGCUCCACCAUCAUCCUUUGUGGGACCGCCGGUGCAGGUGCAGGUGCAUGCGACUGAGGGGACUGUGCAGGCUCGACGCGCGCCGGGGUGGGUGAUCCCGGGUCCCGUGGCGACGUGGCGUCCGGACUCUGCUUCUACCGGCCGUAGAGAGCUAAGAACGCUGCAACAGGAAGACCUACCACCAUCAUCACAACAACAACAACAACAGCAACAGCAGUUUCAGCAACAGCACCAUCACCAGCAGGAGCUGCCGCAGCGCCCCUCACCAGGCACGACUGGCGGCUGGGUUGCCGUUACCGAUGUUGCUGCUCUUGCGGCUGCGCAGGAAGUGAAGGACAGUGUCGAUGGCGGCGAGGCCGGCGCCACUGACGGCGCCACUGCGCCACUCGGUCCUCAUGAACACUUUUCUGGUCACGGGCAUGGGAACAGCGGCAGCGGCGCCAUACCCGUGGGGGAUGGGUUUAGUAAUCCUGGCUGUAGCGCUGGCGAUGUUGGCGGUGGCGGAGCAGCCGACGGCGGCGGCGAUGGCGAAAUAGGUGUUACUGCAGACGGCGUGGAGCCCUUGGGUCGGGCUGCUGCUGUCAAUGACGGCGGUUUCGGAGGUGGUGGAGUGUACGACAGUAGUAAUAAUAGUGAAAUGGCGGGCCGCGGAGGUGAGGGGGCCGGCACCAGUCACGGCAUUGGGUGCACUGGCGGCGAUGGAUCUGCGCCAGUGAGCAGCUGCGCUAGCGGCGGCAGAGGCCCCAUGAACGACGACGGCGGCGGCAACGGCGACACCAAUGUCGUCGAUAACGGUGGGCAAUACGGUGGCGGCGGCGGCGGCUUUCACGCCGCAAUCGGCGAAAAAGGUAGCGACGACGCCGGCGCAGUCGCGGCCGGCGGCAGUAGCAGCCGUGGCAUCGGCAUAUUGGACAUGGCGACUGUCGCCAUCAACAGCCGUGGCGGCAGCACUGCCGCCGCCGCCGCCGCUGCCGUCCUCCGUCGGUAUGCCUCCAGCAGCGUGCCAAGUAGCACCGCCCCGAGCAUCGCCAUUUCCGAUCAGAACGCCGCCGGCACCGCCACUGGUGGUGGCGGCGGCAACGACGACCUCUGCGGCGGCGGCGGCGGCAGCAAUAAUAUCCCGGCGUCUGACUCCGGCGCCGGCAAAAACAACAACAACGAUGACAGUAACAAAACCAUCCGCGUUCCCGACAACCGUUAUCAUCCAGCCCUAGGUCGUCAUGCCUCAGCUCGAACCUUCUCCGGCCCACGCAACCCGGCGGCUCCAUUCCAGGGCCGCGGCCCCGGCGUGCAUCCCAGCUCCGACCCGGGGGAGGCCCCCAGGGGCUGCCCGUGGCGGGUGCCCCGGAGCACUUGGCCGUCGGCUUUUCGCAGCCACACGGAUCUGGGCCGCUUGGCGUGGCUGCAGCCGCCGUCGGCUGGCAGCGGUGGCGGCCGUGGAGGAGGCAGCAGCGGCAGGGGCGGCGGCGGCGGCGGCGGCGGUCGCGGUUUGACCCUUCAGAUGAAGGACUUCAGCCGAGUGAUGGACUCCGAAGCGCAGCAGGGAGCUGUCCCGCAGCCGUCGCUACAGGAACCAGUGUACCGACCAGCAUGGCGGCCGCCGCCGCCUUUACAGCUGCCGUCGCCGUCAGAGGCGCCGCUACAGGGCCCUGAUGCGGAAUGGCAUGCCGCGGCGGCGGCGGGGGGGGAUGUAAGAGAGGACGGGGGUCCAUACCGUGAAGGAGAAGGACCCGUGGACCCCAGGCCGUUGCAGUUGGGCACGGCGACGCGGCCCUUGUCGCACGGUUUUCACGGAGCAGCAGCAGGAGCUGACGUGUUGCGGGAUGUCGGGAUGUCUGCUGGCUCGGGGAAAGGACCUGGACAGACCGGGGGGAAAGGAUCCUCCCUCCCGCCGUCACACUCACAUCCGGAUGCACAACGACGGCCCUGGACAGCCGCGCCGGAGCCAUCGGGCUCAUUGGGCAUCAACCUUGCAGUGGAGUCAUCUGACCGGCCAUCUGCGCCCGCCAUCCCCGUGCCGACUCACCCCCAGUCGUCGCCAUCGGCCUUUCCCCAGCUUACUCCCUAUUCAUCCCAUGUCCCGUUUCCGCCGUUUCCGCCGCUGGCGGCGGCAGUGCCUGGCAUAUCCCCCGGCGGUAAGGGGGGUAUGGUCGACUCGGCCGCGCUGACAGAGCUAUGGGAGUUCCUACACGGCGGCCAUUCCAGAGGUGGCGGCCCCGUGGCCGCGCCGGCAGCCGGGUCUGGAAGCUGCUCUUCCGUAGCCGACGAGGCAUCGUAUGAGGACGUGUGGCCGCCGAACGCAUGGACACGGACCCGCAUUCGGCAGGAGCCAGUGCCAACGGCUAGGGGCUUUUCCCAACAACCUUCGGUUGGCGGCUCCUCUGGCGCGGCUCUCCUCCGGCCCAUGCAAGCUGACCCACAUCUUUCAGCCAUGCCGCCAUCACCGCCACCACCACAACCACCGCCGCCGCUCCCGCCCUUCACUUUGUCGCUACCAGCCAUCCCCGGAUACCACACCACCACCACCAACAACAACAACACCUCAUUACCCGAGCUUCUUAACCUCGAAGACGUCCGGCCUGCCCCGUCCUCGUCCUUGCCCACGGUCGCCCCACUCCAAUUUCGCGCCAUACGUUCAGUCCCUUUACCUUCUCUGUCCAGUGGUCAUUGCCGCGCUGGUGGUAGUGGUGAUGGUGAUGGUGAUGGUGGCGGCGACCAUCUCUCCCAUAAUCCACCAGCUCAUCCUUGGAACAGCCAUCAUCACCACCAGAACCACCACCAACAACGUCAAUAUCAACAACAUCGUCCGAAUCAUCAUCAGUAUUACGACCAUUACCACGACCACCAUCGCGGCGAUGCGAGGGGGCCAGGACCCCCAACUACUACUACAACUGCCGCCGCUCUUGCCGCCGCCAGACCUCCCGGAGGUGCUGCUCCUGGAGGCAGUGGUAGUGGUGGUGGAGGUGGUGGUGGUGGUGGUGCUUUUGGAUCGAGUGAUGUUGCGGCAGCGCUGCUGCGCGGGUCCUUCAGUUGGUCACCCGAGGACUCCGUCGUGAGACUUCCCACAACGCACCUGCAGGCGGAGCUGAGUUGGGACGCAUCGUCUGUAGAAGGAGGACGACAGAGGCGCGACGGCUGGCAAGGGCCAGGACCAGUCUGUGGCUUGGGGCCGGUAAGCGGCGCUGCUGCUCUGGAGGAGCAGCAGCAGCAGCAGCAAACAACAGCAAGGAGGCGGCGGCCAGGCCAGCCCUACUUUUACCGCGACCGCGAUGAUGACAACCACCAUCACCACCACCAAGGACAGCAACGGAGGCAGGGACAGGGACAAGAGCGCAAUACCGGCGCAGAGGCGGCCGCGCCGUCGCAGGUCGCACCGCCGCAGGUACCGCAAGAUUGACCCUGCUUAAGAGCCUGGGCUGCUCUCGUCCUCAUUGAGACGUGCCUUCUUCUCCGCGCGGCUUUCGACGUCACAGACGCCUCUGCCCUCGCCGCGACGCGUCGCUGCUAAUAUUAACCUCUUUGUGAGCAAUGAAGGCAUGUCGCCCGAAGGCAGAGGAUCCCAAAAGGAUCGCCAGCGUGGAUCCCUUUCCGUAACCCAGACGCAAUCCAAAUAGUCAACAUUACUCCGGCUGCCAAUGAAUGAUUUUGGUGUGGUAGAACAUCCUCGUCUUACUGCUGGUGUGGGUGCGCGUUGUUGCCAUUGCGGCUAUCUCGCAUGGACCUCUGCAGGUGCAAGUCAACGUCAACCUGGAUGCAAGCUCCCUCAGUGACGUGUUCUCGCAGUGCCUGCAAGCCGCAGUGCCUGCGGUGUGCGCCGCGGCGGCGGCGGCAGCGGUCCUGGGCCAAGGUACGCUGAACAGCAUAUCGCGGCAAAAGCACACACGCAACCCCGCCCAGGAUGAGCCUUGGAUGAGAAGGAAACCUUUUAGGGAUUUUCACGGGCCAUGGACUCGCUCCCAGGCGCUGUUCGAUGGCCAAUUUUCAGCUGCUGUUUGCUGCUGUGUCGGUGCUGCUGUGGCUUCGAAUCCAGGGGCGUUGCAAGCUUCGCUGGCCGGCCGGCCGGUCCUGCCCGAAGGCGGUGGUGGCGAUCCUGUCGCUGCGUUGGCGGUUAAUACUGCCAGGGAGCUGCUGCCAGCCCGAGCGACGACGACGAAAGGGGCACCACAUCCCGACGGCAAGGUGAGGGUAGGUGUGGGUGGGUGCCCAUCCGGAUGAGCCGAGCUCUGGGAGCGUUGGUGGGUUUGGACACGUUGUGAAGAAAUGUAUGCCUAGCCUGGUCUUGUCCAGGCCAGCCUACCCCUUUUUAGCCUAGGUGCAUAUGCUAGGUGCCUAUCGCGGGAGGUGGAGAUGUGGGAAAGGCUUUACUGCAUUUUGGAGAUUGGGUCCUCCGCAUAGAAGACUAUGUCCGCACGAUAGAAUAUUCCAUUUACAACUGCCCUACAACGAAUCAUCAAGGUGGCACGUACGGUUGGGUUUUGACGAGUAUCUGAAGUGCAGAAAGUGUGGUGGGUGUUUGGCACGGCACGGCAUGGGGACGGAUGGUGUCAAAUGCGGCAUAUGCCAUAGCUGCCACUACCGCGGGGUGUCGAAGUUAGCGGAAGUGGGGUCGGCUCUACUUCACUGUACGUUGGGUAUGUGACCACUUACGAACGUCUUAAUGUAUUCAUGGCUGGCACCUUUUUUCCAUUUUUACUUUCCUAACGGCCAUCACUUUUCCAACCAGAGCCUCUUGGGCUACCCAUAGCUGCAGAGCUGCACUCUCCCUUCUCCUAGCUUUGAAUUCGUCGACAGUUCACCCUUUGCUUAUUCUUGCGUCAUAUAAUUUCUCCCUCCCUCCUCCCCCGUUGUCGCUCGUCUUUCGCCAUAUCCGGCCGUAAUCCACCUGCUGGCUUCGCCCUUAUGUCUCCGUCGCCGUGGCUGCGGCUGUUAUGAAUGAACAACACCUCCCCCUGGGUCCUGCGCGCCUGUGAUGCCACGAAUCCCCCCCCCCACGAAGCGCCUGGAGCUCGGCCCCAGUUUAGGACUCGGCCUAACCCCUGGCUUAGCAGCCGCUUGCAACGCAGCCACACAGACCGACUCGCCGCCCUGUAAUGUGGAAGCACAAACCAAGCUGCUCCAACCAGCAUCUGCCGACACCGUCGCCGCCAUGAGCACCACCAACGCAACCACAAGCGCCGGCAAUGCCAGGUCGCAUCAGGAGCCUCCUCUUCAUCCUUGGCGCGGAUUUCCAGUCGCCGCAGCAUCCAUGAUGCCCAGUGAUGAUGGCGUCUGCGGCGGUCCAGCGCCUCCGCUGGGUAUCGUGCCUCCUCUGUUCAACUCUGCCUCGCCAGCGUACAGUGAACUGCUCCGGAGGACUGCCAUGGCCACGCCAGCCGUACCGACGGCGGCGGCGGCAUCCACCGACGCGGCGUUAGCCGCGUCCAUGAACUUGAAGAAGAACAUGGCGCAAGGGCAGCCGUGGACUUCGGGUGGUGGUUCAUGGUGGUCUCCUAGGGACGCGCCGUCCCUUUCCGUGAGCUCCUCCCCAGAAAGGGUCGGUACUUCGGCUUCGGGCGAGGUGGGGAAGGGGACGGCCGUCUCCGAUUGUCACAUGGGCCCGGCGGCGGCGUUAGCUGCGUCGCCGUUGCGGGUCUCCGCGUCGCUGUCGAGUUUGCUUACACCCGCGAUUAGCCAGGCGGCGACAACAAUGCCGCCGUCUGUCGGAGCCGUCACCGCAAGAGCCGAGGGGCUGCAACAUCAUGGCGUUCUGACCGCGGCUGCUACUUCGACGGUGACGGCCUCGGCGGUGGUUGACCGGGGCCCGGUGUUCCAUAGCCAGGCAGCCGCCAGUCUGUUCGAGGAGUGCCGACGGGAGAUUCACAAGCGGGCCGCCGAAGGGCAGGCGGGCUUGAUGGUGCCAUGUACGACAGCCGUUACCAGCGUCAGCGGUGUACGGUCGCCACAUGUUCGGCACGCUGGUGGUCAAGCAGGUCAUCGCUUCAUCGCUGGCGGCGGCGGUGGUGGGAGCAAGCCAACGCCUGCGGAACCCAUGAGCUACACCGUCGGUUCACCGGACGUGAAACGCCGACGGUUGACAUUGGCUGGAGAGAACGGUGGGGGGCCGGUGGCGUACGGUGCCACAGCCGGGACCGCUCCACAGCUUGGCUGUGGGCCGUUCGCGCGGCCAUCUUCGUGUGUCGGCGUGGCUGACGCGAUGUGCUUAAAUCCUAUCCUCCUCCGUUAUGCGCCGCCAUCAAUAGCUAGUCUGGAGCAGCAGAACGGAGUUGCUGCUGGGGCUAGGGGUUCAAUGCAGUCGCAGUUACUGGCUGGCAGGCCCGAUGUGCCAGUGUGGCAGCAGCCGCAAGUUGUCGGAUUUCCAACACCGAUGGCCAACACGGCGCCACAUUUACUGGGCCUGUCCGAGUUCGCUGAUCGGAUGAUGUUUGACGUGGAUGGACUGAGAUUAGGUGGAGCGUUCACAACAUUUAAGGUUGUUGGCUUGGGGGCUGCCACGCACGCGGAAGGUGAUGGCGAGGUCCCUGGCGCGUUGUUUGAGGGAAGCUGGGAGACCGAGGCGGAGAAGCUGAGACACAUGGAGUACUCACAGAAUGGAACGGACGCUGCACUAGCUGCAGAAGAAGCGGCCACCGACGCGCGCGGCGGUAUGGAAUUGGUGGCCUCUCCGCAAAUGCAUAACCAGCAGUCAGAAAUGCUCCUGCGCUUUUUGGAUAGCCUCGACCAGCGCCCGAUUUAAAAACUGCUUAUUACGAAUGGAGCGAAAGGGAGUGUUUGGGGAUAUGGCUGACUUUUUUGGUCGUUUGGAUGUACGUUGCCGCCGUAUUGACCAUUCCGCGCAAAGCAUGCCAUGCGCAACCUUGUAUCCAUUACAGGCCUAUCAGUUCUGUUUAAUUCACGUAUUCCCUGCUUUUACUAGGCAGGAAACGUUUGAAUUUUGCAUAUCGCGCGCGACUUUGACAUAUUUCACGUAACUUCAAAGCUCUGUCAGGUGGAACGCCAUGGCUGUUAGCGUUCUAUCUGUGCGCCCAUUGAAUAAUCCAGCCAUGUUUACGGACCCGCUAGCUUUUGAGAUAGAGUACGAGGCGGUGACAUCGUUGCAACAGGAUCUUGUUUGGAAGCUUGUCUACGUCGGGUCUGCUGACAGCGAUCGUUAUGACCAGGAGCUAGAAAACAUUGAGGUCGGGCCGGUCAUGGCGGGCACUUUCAAGUUCGUGCUCGAGGCCAACCCGCCGAAUCCUCAGAAAAUUCCAGCCGACGACCUGGUAGGAGUCACAGUCAUUUUGCUGACGUGCUCCUACCGGGACAAAGAGUUCAUCCGUGUGGGUUACUACGUCAACAAUGACUACCUGGACGAGGAGCUGCGGGAAAACCCCCCAGAGCAGCCGCGCUUGGAUCGGCUUCAGCGGAGCAUUCUCGAUGAGCAUCCGCGCGUCACGCGUUACGCAAUUCCCUUCGAUGAUCCGGAACCAGCUGAUGGCGCACAGCCAAUGGAUGAGGAUGGCUCACAACCGAUGCAGGGAACGGAGUCAGCGGACGCCAUGAUGACCGCUCCGCCGCUGCAAGCAACAGCUUUCCAGAGUCAACCAGGAAUGUUUGACGGGCACGCGCAGCAGGCUGGACCCCAGCAAAUGUACCAUUAUGUACCAGUGCAAUGAUGAGUAUUCUGCUGUUGCUUUGCUGGCGAUCGGCAACCUUACAUGUGGUCUUGUUAUACCAUUGCGAAGGCCGCAGUGCGGAAGAUAAGAGUUUAAUGGGGGGUUGCGACCCUGCAUAGGGCAUGCAGACGACAGGAAUUGGUUGUACACCUCAUGGUUGGGUUACAGAGCAUGGGUUUCGGUUGUAUUCUGGCACGCAGCUGACUUUUUGACAAUCCUAGGCGUCCGGUUGUGAGGGUGUAUGCCUUUGCUUGACAUGAUAAGACGCGUGGACGUGACGGAACCCACGGAAAGACCGUUGCGGGCUAAUUCAUGACUGGGCACCUUGUUGUGGAACUGUCCAGGAUAUUGGAUGCUUUCGACUGUAUUGCCCCAUGUCUGCACGCGCGAACAUGUGCGUCUUUUUUACGUUAACCAGUGUUCACUUCAGACUUUGACUCUUCUAGGGUUUGACUCUGUGGGAGUGGGCGGCCAGCAUAUAUCCAAUGAUAAAUUUGUAUAUAUGGAGAUACUUCUAUUGGUCUACUUGCAUUUUGGGCCCACGAGCUGUAUUUUAAAGCAGUUGGACCGACGAGCUUUUAUAUGCGGACAACACCGUAGCUGCAUCACAGGACAAGGGGCUGGGCUAGCCAAUUGCUAUGGAUGUGCUUUUCAUUUAUGUAAGCAUAGAAACUCACAGGCUGCUAUCGAAUAAUGCAUUGGAGUUUUCGCAUACGGCAAGACGGUUGCACGGCAGCAACGCCAUCCGCCAGUUUACGGCCGGCGCACCCUAAGUGUGCUAAGUAUGCAGCAAGUUCGGCACUGGACGCAAGGAGCUAUACAAUUACCUUUCUUUCUGCUUGGUAACGUCUUCGCGUCAUGUCUUCUACGGCUUUCAAAGUAAUGCCAGCAGUAUCACGACUGGGCUUUUUGAAGGUCCCACGCCGAGUUAUCUCAUGCCGUGCUAAGAUACAAGAGAAUAUGCCUGAACCCUUGGUGGCGCUGUCGUCUCCAACCCCACGCAUGAGGAACGGUUCCAUGAUAAGGAGCCUUGCAGCUGCUGUCGAGCUGAAUGUGAGUUGUAGGACAGUCCUGGGCACUACAUCGUGGAUGUGGGUUAAUGGUCAGCUCCCUUGUUCGCUUAACUGCUCGGUCGAUCAUUUUGGCGGGUUACCUUUCUAGGGCUGUUUAUGAUUAUUUAUGAUCCUUUACUUUUCUACAGAGUCAGGCUCAACGUUAUGAAACAUUUGCGGGGCGAAGCGCGAUGGUAAGUCGGAUUGUUUCGGAACAUGUUGCCGGGGCUCGCCGCUAACACUUUCCGACGUGGUGGGCUCGGCAGGUCGGUGUAGCCGUCGCAGCAUGUAUCGAAAUAAUUACCGAUCACAGCGUGUUCUUCCCCGUCAACGGCGAUACCGCGAUAACCUACGCUUGCGUGGCCCUGGCGACUCUUGCGUCGUCUGUGGGCAUUGCUUUCGUGAGGGGUCGUGGCGACUCUCCAGCUGCCGGCACUGGUGUCGACAUUUUGGAAGCAGUCUAUGCAUCCCUCACGGCGGCUCAACGCUCUGCUGCGAGCGUCACGCAAGCUCAGGUAGGAGGUGGCGCCGUGAGGGCAGGGCAGGCGUUGCAAGCACCGUUUUAUCCGUUCGUAACUCGCUAACUAACCAAUAUAGCUUUCUGACCUUCUUGUGCGAUUGAAGCUAUGGAUAGCUUUGCUCCUAGCUGGCUAAAUCGCACCGACAUAACCCAGCAUAACCAAGACCUGCCAUAACCAAGGGAAAGCUCCGAUGGUACUCGUCGCUUUGCUGAGUUAAAUAUUAAGCAUCAUCGUCACCUUGUCGCUGAACAUGCAUCCGGAACCACACGUCCACCAUACCCAGAGGCCCCUAACAUGCCACCAGUCUGCACUUCCUUCGCUUCCAUUUCUUUUCCUGCACCAAGUUUUUCCAUCCGUCAUCGACACGUUCAAAAGGUCCUGCGCCAAAAGGCCCCACAAAGCCGCGUGCUCAGAACAUGCCAGUGUCCAUUCCAAUUAUUCCCCUCUUCUCUCUUCUCUUCCUAAGUCUUUUGAUGAUGAUUAGGAUACCAGUCAAUCCGGAUACCGGAUACCGGAUCCGGAUACCGGUCAAUCCUUUCAUAACCUUAAGCCCCCUCUGUAUCCUCGGACUCCACUCUCGCGGUGGCGUUUUUUUCAUCGCAUCUGAGCAGGUGGAUAAGGCGGUGGACUAUGUGUUGGAAACGGUUCUGGAAGGCCGCUUCGACAGCUUCUCCAUCGAGGGCCUUAUGACGGCCUCAGAUGAAGAGCCUUGAGUAAAGCCGCCGGCAAAAGAAAGCUGUUGCAGAUAAAUAUGUACGUCUGCCGCGCCCCUGGUCGCGGCUACGCCUACAGCGCUUUGCGAGCUGCUGCCGUCGAUCACCGGUGUUGAUGAAGGUGGUAUGGUAAUAUGGCUUAUGUGGCUCCGGAGCUGCUUUGACGACGUUGUUCGGCGGCACCUCGACGGCGGCAGGCAGAGCUGAGCUGGGCUGAGCUUAGGCGGCGACAAACAAUACUUUGUAUCGAUAGCGGUGCUGGCAGCCAUGAAUGGCUUGGCCACAGCUUUCUGCUGCUACUACAGCUGCUGCUGCUGCUGCUACAGUCGCUGUUCCUGGUCCUGCUGCUGCCAUUGAUUAAUAUCUCCCAGGCGACGAAGGGGAAAGGGGAGGGAGAACUGACUUUUCUUGCUACUGCUGGUUAUUUCGUCGCGGUCCUCCACAUCGUCCACUUCUGAACCGCCUUCGGGGUGAGCUCUGCUGUUGGAUGGGCCACUGCACUGCACCGCACUGCACUGCACUGCAGGGCGACCAACCAGACAGAGUGAAAUGGGGGAUCGAUGAAAGGAUGUGGGUUUUGUGGGUUUGGUGCCGUACACCGAUAUGUCUGUCCCGUGGGCCGAGUUGGUACCGGUCAGUUCCUCAAGCAGUUAGUUCCUCGUUGCCUCCAUCAGGUGUUUGCCGUUGCUAGUCCGAGGUAACGCUUAAAACCGCGAAGUACCUGCGGAUGCCGUAUUAUUGCGCGUGCCAGUACGAAGCGGGCCAAGAGAGAUCCUAGUAGAGAGACGCUGCGCACCCCUCGCUAUGGGCGUAGGUCCAUAAAUGUACCUGGUCGCAUACCGCGAAACCGGCAAGGGGCGAGCCUGGAGGCUCAAGCAUCUCCGUCUUUAGCUGGGCAUCGAGCUGAGCAUUUAGGCAUUCCGCACCUCUGUCACUUUUCAGCCUCGACCUCGAUCACGUGGGUUAAUCCUCGAGGGUUGUACCCCACGUGGGGGGCGGUGAAGGGUUUGGCUCGCGCUGCUGCUUUGCUUUGCUUUGCGCACCCCUCCCGCCGCACAUUGGGGCGGUGUGGGGACUGUUCCGGAGCUCUUUGCGGCGUUUGUUGUGUUUGUCACCGUGGUGCAGGAAAUGCGGGGGAAGGAAGGGAAUUACCUCACCUCACCUGGAUUGCGAUAGUCGGCCACUCCAGGCGGAAAGUGCAGUUGUCUAUCUAUAGCUUAUGCAUGAAGAGUUUUAGGGUAUUCGAUGCACUCAACUUUCAAUGGGGCGCGCUUGGGCGUCACGUUUGCUUUUUUGGGGGUUACCACCCAAUUGGUGUCGCGAACCAGCUGUGGACUGCACCCUGGCUCCUCUUAGAUUUGAGUCCCGUUGACUUGCCCCCAUAUGUGUGUGUAAAUCUGUGGGGGGUGUGUUGUGGGGGGUUUUGGAUGUGGGCGUUCUUACACCCUUGUAUAGAGGGGUCUGAGAACCCUCGGCAUCGUUUUGGGGGCGGCCGGGUUGCUAGGGUUGCAGCCACUGUGCUUGCGGGUUGAGGAAUGGAUUUUCGGUGGCUUAUAUGUGCAUGUGUAUAAAGGCUGCUCAAUUCAGCAGCAGCAGGGGGCCGUACUGUGGCGGCUGCUGCUGCGGCGGCGGUUCUCGUUGAUUUGCUGCUUAGGCACCUGCUGCCGCAGUCGCAGCAGCAGCACCGGGCGCAACGGCGCUAGGUGCAUGGGACACAGAUUGUACUGCAUUUCCCGUGGUGGGUCGCAAUUGAAGUCUCUAUCGAAAGCGGUUCGGAUGUGUGUCUGUUGCUGCAGCUGUUGUUGUAGCUGUUGUUAUCGCGUCGGGUUCGAUUAAAGUGCAGCAGGAGAGCCUCCCCUUUUGGACCACUGGCGAGGGUUGGGUCAAUUGGUGGUAAUAAGGGUGCGGCGUUGGGUUCUCCUUUUAUUUUCUUUUUCGAAAUUACCGUCCAUGUCGUCACCGUAGCAGCUACACAGCAGCAUACGCCCACACGUCACAUUUGGUGGGUAAUACACGUUGCGGUGCCCAAGGUGGUGGCUGCUUCCAAACCAUGAUUCUUUUUUGGCGGCAUUCUUUGAUACGGCGGAGAUACCGAGGCUGCUUGCGGCUAGGUGGGUGAGAAGGAAGGAUGGAGAGCGGGACGGAUGACAUCAGGUUUCCGAGUGCGUCUUGUUGCUACGCACGCUACACACGCGCACACAUAUACACGAACGUUCCUUUUCCGCCUUGCUUUGGUUUUCUGGCUACCGUGGCAUAUUUGCUUUAAUGGACAUACGCCCAUUGUGUACUUUUAUUCUUGUGUGUGCGUGUAUGUAUGUAUGUAUGUGUUAUGUAUCUUGUUACCAGAAGGCAGUUGUACAUGGCUGGGAGGGUAGAGCGGUCAUCAAGCACGCGACGUCAAGCCACGCAAGCCGUCUUCGUCAGAUCAUUUAUCGCGGCUUUUACGUUGAUUUCUUACGGCUGACGGCUGGUGUAGGAUUUUGAAGAAAAUUUACAGUGUAUCAUACGAAGUUUUUACCUUAUACAAAAACGUUGAAGGUGUAUGGUCUCCUCAUGUCCAUUGCUGUUGGACGGAAUUUAGCGGUCUGGAAGUGGGGGCGCUGCAGGAGUUACAGGAGCUGUUGUAAUUAUAUAUUAUACGCAUUUCACACCUUGUUGGCCCUUUUGGGAUAUUUUAUGUCGCGAGCGAUGUGCGGCGCUGUGCGCUAAUGCACAUGCUUGGCAACAAUCGCUGCUUCUGUUCCUGUGUGAGGAAGCAGGCGGCAAUGUCUGAGGAUGUAACCAG